UUAACUCAAAUUUGAAUGGAGUUGGAACGUUUGUCUAUGUUUGCCGCUAGGGGCGCUGUUCCAACUCCAUACAAAUCGAGAGA
This 83-nucleotide microRNA precursor is filed under the name Bombyx mori (domestic silkworm). RNAcentral describes it as "mir-2807 microRNA precursor family". It matches the Rfam family "mir-2807 microRNA precursor family". Lineage: Eukaryota; Metazoa; Arthropoda; Insecta; Lepidoptera; Bombycidae. The record is from Rfam by way of RNAcentral.